RNAcentral lists this transfer RNA (56 nucleotides) under Galendromus occidentalis (western predatory mite). RNAcentral describes it as "tRNA-Cys". Lineage: Eukaryota; Metazoa; Arthropoda; Arachnida; Mesostigmata; Phytoseiidae. The record is from RNAcentral.
AGAUCUAAAAAAAGCUUCUAACUUUUUAACAAGCAAACGCUUAAUCUUUUAACAUU